GGGGGGGGGGGGGGUUAUUUUCCCCAAAGCGACCUAGACAGAAUAAGUCAGUUGUAACUCGAAAUCUGUUUUCAGAUUAGAUCCACGUGAAAGUGUAAAUAUUACUAGCCUUUAUAUUGCAACGUUCCUCUUUUGGGGACUGUUAGCUUUGCUCAACCAAAGGUUUGUGGUAUUGAAAUAGAAUGCAAUUAUAUGACUAAUCAUGAGAAUACUUUCCGAAAUGUCAGCGUAUAAUGCAUGGGCAUGAACCCUGAAAGCUCGUCUGAAUUUAAUUGUAGUAUUUCAUGGAUAUGAGGUAAAAAUACGGGAUGAUAACAAGUUUUCUCAACUUUUCCUAAGGCAAUAAAGAUGAAAUUUGUCGCAAUUUCGUAACAAAUUCAAAAGUAUUGGAAUGUUGUUUAAUCAGUUAGAUUGCUGGAAGUGAUAUAGAACGACUGCCAGGGCUACAACUUAUACUAUGUGACAAAGACGGCCACCAGACGAACUGAGGCGAUGGGGUACGACAACGAUGUAGCGAGGAAGGCGACCUACAGGUUGAUAGCGACCACGACGGCUACCAAGUUACGACUACGGCGAUGGCGACCACGGUGGUAACCAGCGAGGGAAAAGGGCGGCGGCCAGGGUGACAACCAGAGCAACGAACAAGAUGACGGCAACGAUGAUCAUCAGGAUGGAGCCGAGCAGGGCGACGGCAUGGACGGCAAAGACGACCGGAGGGACGGCGACCAGGGUGAGCUACGGAUAAUAAUGCAUAUACGAGGGAAGAAGGGCGGCGGCUGGGGUGACUACCAGGGCGAUGGCAACCAGAGCAACGAAAAGGAUGACGGCAACGAUGAUCAUCAGGAUGGAGCCUACGAGGGCGACGGCAACCGGAACUUGACUUUUGACUGGCGACGACCAGAGGGACGGCGACCAGGGUGAUAGCUACGGAGAUAUAUAUUUUAUGUACAACAAGAUGAUAUACUACACUUUGUCUCUUCACUGCUAAGACGACGACGAAUGAACUUUAAUCUUAGCAGCCUCGCAGAGAUCACAACUUAAGUCUGCAGAUUGAACUCAAUGCACGAGGUGGAAUGAUAAAACACGACAUCGCAAGGUAAAGCUGAUUGGUAUGCUAACAUGAGCUACAACAGUACAAGCUAGAUGACAUUCAUGUGAAUGACAACAGUGCUCUUCACCACAAAAAAAUCUCAACUUUGACGCCCAUGAACAAUGGAAACUUUGAAUCUUGCUCAACCAAGAUAAUGCCAACAAAUUAUGUAUGAAAGAGGAUUCUUCAUAAUUUAUUUACAUUGAUGUACAUUUGUUUUAAGUGAGAGAGAAUAAGAUUGUAUCAUGUGCUUUAUAUUAUGGCACUUUGUAUGCAUUUCAUUAUUUGGAUAUUUUGUAAACAUAAGAAAAUUAAUGUAUGCCAAGCAAAAUGAUAGCAUAUUUUAUAUACAGAUGAAAUUUAUAAAAAAUACUUUUCAGCGUUGAUUAUCAUUUUAUAUUUGUAUAUCUAUAUUUAUAUGGAAAUGUCUUAUUUGUCGCAGUAAUUUUUUUAUAUAUAUUCAAAUCUCACUUGCUAUGUAGUUCUACCUACCUUCAGUAUUGUGUUAGGUGCGCCAACAACAUUUUUGUUCUUUAACUUCAUUUCCUUAAAACAAUACUACUUUCCUAAUGACAAUAUUCUAAUAAUAAUACAGAUUUUCUCACACCAAUGAAUAACCAACAAUAAAGCAGCAUGACUAAUAUCACCAGUAUGACCCAUUAUACUGUUGAUAUAUCAUACAUUCAUACUAUCCGAGUAUAACUCUUUUUGUAUAAUUUAGUAAUGAUACUAAUUUUACGUAAGAUUUACGAAUCGCUUUUCCGUAUGCCAUGGGUAUGUGAUGUAUAAUUAUUAUUGCCUGGUAAGUUACAUUACUCUAUAACAUGUUUUAAUCAACGGCGCUUCUAACUAAUAUUGCUGCUGCUGCUAUUUGUAUGUUAUUAAUAAUUGUUUUAAACUUUGAAGCACUAAAACUCUAAUCAAAUGCGCUAAUGGCUAAUACAUAAUAAAUAGUCUAAUGAUUUGUGUUAUACUCGAUUUGUGUAUCUUUGAAAUGUAAGCAUAUAUAUAUAAAUAUAUACAUUCAUAUCGUAUAACUAUAUAUCUUUUAUCCCUAACGUACAAUACAACUUGUAAUUUAAAACCCUAACUCUAAUUAUUUCAUUGUAUGUGUAUAUAUUGCAUGUGUUUGUUGUGUCAUUCUCUAGUAUUAUGUUAUGUCACAUCUCAUUCAUGUAAUCUGUUCAUAUUGAUGUAACAUAACUAACUAUACAAUUCUAACUAUACUGUUACUACUUCUACUAAUCAACUGUGCUGAUAUAUAUAUAUAUUAUUGUAACACAUGUUUUAGUGAUUUGUUUAAUAUAUUUGCUUUGUUACAAAUAUAAUCGUAACUAUAUGAACUGUACAUUUUUCUCCCUUACAGGUACAUAUACAGUUACUUCUUUAGACACCCUAAUAAUCUUAUUUAAUGUAUGUGUCUAUGUUGUACAGCUGAUUUUACAGUAUAUACCGUUUCACCCUUGAUAUUUCAUUGAUGUAAUCCUUUUGUAUUGCUACAAGUACUAUGUUACUGUUCCUAUGUUAUUUGAUGCGUGUACAAUUUUGAUGAUAUCAGAAUAAAAAUAUCGUUCACUUAUACAAUACAUGUAUAACUGUUAUAAAUAAAUAAUCAGAUGUAUACCUGUUAUACUGUUAUUACUGUCACGUCUCUAUCAAAAUUAAAUUGCAUACAAUUAUUUUGGAGUAUGCUGUUUUCAUGUAUGGUAAUUCUGAAGCCUGUGAAUUCUCGGAUUUCAAAAUGAUUUGUGUUGAUAAUUUUGUUUGUGUAAAGAAUAUUAUGUGAUCCAUACCAUUUCGUUUAACUGCUCUGUCAAAUGGUUUUAUAUCAAGUCAAAUUACUUGUGUUAUAAAGGUAUAAAUCAGAUGAACCCUUGUCAUUGGAAUUCUGUGUUAGGUUCUCAAUCUUCCUUGUUUAGGUCCUUUGUAGUAAUGUGGUAUUAAUUCAUUUUCUUGAUAUACAUAAUAUUACUUUAAAUGGAGUUAAAUUUAAAAGAGCACUGGCAGUAACUAUGUAAAGGCGCAAUCAUGACACUGCUAAGUGACAUAUGAGUUAACAUUUAUAAUUCUUAUACGAUGCCUAUAUUGUGUUUUUCAAAUUGACGUAUGAUUAUCGUGCUUAAAGACAAAAGAUAUAUUAAAAUAAAGAAUUCGUGGUUUAAAAUCA
RNAcentral lists this long non-coding RNA (3257 nucleotides) under Strongylocentrotus purpuratus (purple sea urchin). Its description in RNAcentral is "uncharacterized LOC105441556". The record is from RNAcentral. Lineage: Eukaryota; Metazoa; Echinodermata; Echinoidea; Camarodonta; Strongylocentrotidae.